RNAcentral lists this ribosomal RNA (253 nucleotides) under uncultured bacterium. RNAcentral's name for it is "partial 16S ribosomal RNA". It matches the Rfam family "Bacterial small subunit ribosomal RNA", at positions 524 to 776 of the family's 1533-position model. The record is from RNAcentral.
GACGAACCGUCCUAACGUUGUUCGGAAUCACUGGGCUUAAAGGGCGCGUAGGCGGUAUCGCAAGUCCGGGGUGAAAUCUUUCGGCUUAACCGGAAAAGUGCCUUGGAUACUGCGAUGCUGGAGGGAGGUAGGGGCACGUGGAACUUCUGGUGGAGCGGUGAAAUGCGUUGAUAUCAGAAGGAACGCCGGUGGCGAAAGCGACGUGCUGGCCCUCUUCUGACGCUGAGGCGUGAAAGCCAGGGGAGCAAACGGG